Non-coding RNA from Thamnophis sirtalis, 256 nucleotides. NCBI's taxonomy places the organism in Eukaryota, Metazoa, Chordata, Lepidosauria, Squamata, Natricidae. The record is from RefSeq and is a predicted model, not a curated record.
GGGCCGCUGCAGCUUAUUGACGUACAGAGACCAGAUGGAAGACAAGACAGAAGCUCAAGACAUAAUGAAGCCUCAAAUGAUUGUUCAGACAAAAACCGAAAAACUGGAAGGAGAUCUGAAGAGAGUGAGGGACCAGAGUUAUGUAAAAAUUAGUUCAGAGGAAUCUGGGCAGCUGGAGAAACUGAGGCGAGAAACUGAGAGACUCAGCUGCAAGGCUCAGAAAGAAGCUGUAGAGAAAGAGCUCCUACGAGAGAAU